This is an RNA transcript of Diceros bicornis minor, 1740 nucleotides long. It is a transcript of the gene named ral guanine nucleotide dissociation stimulator-like, with no coding region annotated. NCBI's taxonomy places the organism in Eukaryota, Metazoa, Chordata, Mammalia, Perissodactyla, Rhinocerotidae. The transcript has 11 exons. The record is from RefSeq and is a predicted model, not a curated record.
GACUGUAGGAGAAAGCCCAGAGGAGCAAUGAAGACAAAGAAGACAUGACACCUGCAAAAAGUCAGUGGAGUAUUUCUACGUAACAAACCUUCCAGGCUGCCAUGAUCCUCCCUUUGGACUCCAUGGUCAGGGGCGUUGCACAGAUCCUCCCUUUGGACCCCGCCUGCCUGAAGGGCCUAUACCUUGGUCAGGCAUCUUAGAAGGACUGCUGUGAGCCAUGUCAUAAAAAGGAGAAAACAUCACAGUGGACAGCCCCAAUUCCUGCAUAUACAGAUGGGAAACUUAGGUGCACUGCUUCUCUGAUUGACUCCAAAUACUACAGCACCACACCCUUCUAGACUGGUGGAUGUGCAGCUCCACUUCUUUGCAAGGAGGACACACAAUAGCAGAAUAUCCAUGGCCCAACUUUCUGGAGCAUCAGUAUUACUACAAGAUUUGGAAGAAGCUAAGUUAGGUCAUUUCCAAGUGGGAAGUCCAUCUCCACCUGUGGCUAAGAAGUGUGAGAAGAAGCCCAACCUACGGCCUUCCCUCCUAAGCUGGUGGUGGAGCAGUUGACUGUGAUGGAUGCGGAGCUCUUCCGGAAGGUGGUGCCCUCUCAGUGCCUGGGCUCCACCUGGGGCAAGAGGAACAAGCCCAGCAAUGAGCACCUGGCACACACCGUCCGGGCCACCAUCGACCACUUCAGAAGGGUGGCCAGCCUCGUCGUCACCACCUGCCUCGGGGACCCGAGCAUGAUGGCCCAGGACAGGGAGUGCAAGAUCCUGAAGAACUUCUCCUCGCCCCGCACUGUCAUCUCUGUUCUGCAGAAAACAUCCAUAUGCCACCUGAAGAACACAUGGGGGAAGUUUCCUGGUGGGGAGAGCUCUGAAAAACUUAAGGAGCGCUAUAGCCAAGACGAGUCCUUGAGCAGAGAACUGAUGACCAAGGAGGGGCCCUCCACGUUUGCUCCCCCAGAGAGCAACCCCCAGAGAGUGCAGGAGAAGCAGCAGCAGCGGCAGGGGAAUGGGAUCAACCUUGAGAAGAGUACUGAGGAGCAGCUGUGGCACUCCCUGCAGGGGAGAGGAAGGAGGUGGAAAUCAGAGACCUUCUGGGCAGAACAGUCCUUGGCUUCACCCGCUGUAUCUUACAUUGAGUGGAAGAGUUUGAUACCAGAGAAGUGGGAGACCCAUCCAAUUGGCGGCUACACCUUGUCCUGCCAGCCAGAGCGCUAGACCUAGUUGGCCUGCAGAGUACGCAAGGCCAAGAAGAACCGGCCAUCAUCAAGGUCAGGGGUUCAUCUUGGCUGAAAUCAUCCCAAGUGUUUUGUUUUCUGUCCAGCUUGCCUCCCUCAACACGAGGUUGAUGAGACUCACCCAGCAUGUGUGUGUCAGCGUUUGCUCCUUGGCAUGGCUGAGGGCGUUCUGCUCUGUGGUUGCCCUACAGUGCGCUCGUCUUGCAGGUCAUCUCCUGUGAACAUUCUUGUACAAACCCUUUUUUUUGCUUCUUAAUUCCUUUAUUAGCAUUUAAGUGACACACCUUUGCAUUUUUUAGUGGUUGGUCCAGAUUACAAUAUGCAUCUUUAACAUAUCACUGCCUACCUAGACUUAAUAGUGCACCAGUUUAAUCAAUGUAAAAUAUGGAAGCCUUGCUACAGAACAGUUCCAUUUACCUAUGUCUGUCCAUUAUGUUAUUGUUGUCAUAAAUUUUACAUCUACCCAUGUUGUAAAUCCCACAAUACAAUGUUAUAAUUUUUGCUUUAAA